AGUGUGGGUAUGUACCUGCCGCCCACUUCCUGGGUUUCUUAGGAUCCAUUACUGUGAAUGCUGCUGCAUGACAUAGGUGGGCACAGCCAAAUGACAGAAGAUAAGAACCUAUUGUUCUAAAUCCAGCCACUGAAGGGGAAGAGGACAACCUGAAAUCCAUUUGCUCUGAUCAGAUUUCAUGAAAGGAGAUGAAAUAUGUUUCUCUCCCACCCUACUAGAAAACAAGGUGUGACUUCUGUAACAGGACAAAGCAAAUCCUAUCAGCACAAGGAAUUUAGUGGUGUACACCGCCUGCUCAAAGUACAGAAUUAAAAAUGCUGAAGAAGAACUUGAUCUGAAGGAGAAGCUUGAUCUGAUUCACUUUUCACUGCUAUCACCCUCAUCUUCCAGGAAGAAUUCGAAAUGUUCAGUUUACUGGAAUUAAGCUAAAGAAAAUGAGCUAGUCUCACUAGUAAUACAUUCACUAGUAAACCAAACCAUGAGGCCUUCCUAUAGCUGAUCCAGCUGCAAUGUUGAUUAAUUUGAAAGAAAUCUAUAA
Molecule: non-coding RNA, 538 nt
Organism: Mus caroli (Ryukyu mouse)
Lineage: Eukaryota; Metazoa; Chordata; Mammalia; Rodentia; Muridae
Source: RefSeq, a predicted model, not a curated record